GCCAGCAGCCAUAUCACCCUGCAAAUCAGAACUGGCAACCCACUGAAGCUAAGCAGGUGUGAGCCUGGUCAGUACCUGGAUGGAAGAUCUCCUGGGAAAAACUAAAGUUGCUGCUGGAA
This 119-nucleotide ribosomal RNA is filed under the name Lepisosteus oculatus (spotted gar). Lineage: Eukaryota; Metazoa; Chordata; Actinopteri; Semionotiformes; Lepisosteidae. The record is from RNAcentral.